This 331-nucleotide ribosomal RNA is filed under the name Prosymna visseri. RNAcentral describes it as "partial 12S ribosomal RNA". It matches the Rfam family "Bacterial small subunit ribosomal RNA", at positions 887 to 1384 of the family's 1533-position model. The record is from RNAcentral. Lineage: Eukaryota; Metazoa; Chordata; Lepidosauria; Squamata; Prosymnidae.
UGAAAACUUAAAACUUAAAAGACUUGACGGUGCUUCACACCGACCUAGAGGAGCCUGUCCAAUAACCGAUAAUCCACGAUUAACCUCACCCCCCCUAGCCCACAGUCUAUAUACCGCCGUCGCCAGCUUACCUUAUAAAAGAAACGAAGUGAGCUCAACAGUAUAGCACUAACACGACAGGUCGAGGUGUAACUUAUGGGGGGGAUAAGGAUGGGCUACAUUUUCUAAAUACAGAAAAAACGAACAGACUAUGAAACUAGAUAACUGAAGGCGGAUUUAGCAGUAAUAUGGGGAUAAAACACCCACCUGAAACUAACGCAAUGAAGCACGU